GCGUCGAAGGCGUACCGUGAGGUAUUCUGGAGCGUCUGGAAAAGCAAAUGUAGGUAUAAGUAACGAUAAAGGGGGCGGGAAACCCCCUCGCCGAAAGACUAAGGUUUCCUGAUCAACGCUAAUCGGAUCAGGUCAGUCGGGUCCUAAGGCUCAGCCGAACGGCGAUGCCGAUGGCAGAAACGGUUAAUAUUCCGUUACUACCUUCAGGAGUGACGUGGAGACGCAGUAGUGACAGUGCCGCCAUCUGACGGAAUAGAUGGUUGAAGGGUGUAGGAGUCGAUCAUGGCAGGCAAAUCCACCAUGAGAUCCGAACCUGAUAGUAUGCCGCGUCCUUCGGGACAAGGCAAUAGUGCGCGUAAGCAUGCUGCCGAGAAAAUCCGCUAAACUUAAUCCUGUAGGUACCCGUACCGCAAACGGACACACGUAGUCGGGAUGAAUAUUCUAAGGCGCUUGAGUGAUUCACGGUUAAGGAACUAGGCAAACUGACCCUGUAACUUCGGGAUAAAGGGUCCCUACCUUUUAUGGGAGGGCGCAGAGAAUCGGUCCAGGCAACUGUUUAACAAAAACACAGGCUGUGCCAAAUCGAAAGAUCCAGUAUACAGCCUGACACCUGCCCGGUGCUGGAAGGUUAAGAGGAGAUGUCAUCGAUAAGAGAAGCGUUGAAUUGAAGCCCCAGUAAACGGCGGCCGUAACUAUAACGGUCCUAAGGUAGCGAAAUUCCUUGUCGGGUAAGUUCCGACCUGCACGAAUGGUGUAAUGAUCUGGACGCUGUCUCAACCGUGAGCUCAGUGAAAUUGUAGUAUCGGUGAAGAUGCCGAUUACCCGCGAUGGGACGAAAAGACCCCGUGAACCUUUACUAUAGCUUAUCAUUGAAUCUGGGCACGUGAUGUGUAGGAUAGGUCGGAGGCUUUGAAGCAGGUACGCCAGUAUUUGUGGAGCCGCUGUUGAAAUACGACCCUUUAUUUGUUUGGAUUCUAACCCGUGGAUACGGGGACAUUGAUUGGUGGGUAGUUUGACUGGGGUGGUCGCCUCCAAAAGCGUAACGGAGGCUUCUAAAGGUGCCCUCCGGCCGAUUGGUAACCGGCCUUAGAGUGUAAUGGCAUAAGG
This 1107-nucleotide ribosomal RNA is filed under the name Phocaeicola vulgatus. RNAcentral describes it as "Bacteroides vulgatus partial 23S ribosomal RNA". It matches the Rfam family "Bacterial large subunit ribosomal RNA", at positions 1247 to 2364 of the family's 2925-position model. The record is from RNAcentral. Lineage: Bacteria; Pseudomonadati; Bacteroidota; Bacteroidia; Bacteroidales; Bacteroidaceae.